GACGUGGCGCAGUUGGUUAGCGCGCCAGAUUGUGGCUCUGGAGGCCGUGGGUUCGAAUCCCACCGC
RNAcentral lists this transfer RNA (66 nucleotides) under bovine gut metagenome. It matches the Rfam family "tRNA", at positions 6 to 65 of the family's 71-position model. From Rfam's summary of the family: Transfer RNA (tRNA) molecules are approximately 80 nucleotides in length. Their secondary structure includes four short double-helical elements and three loops (D, anti-codon, and T loops). Further hydrogen bonds mediate the characteristic L-shaped molecular structure. tRNAs have two regions of fundamental functional importance: the anti-codon, which is responsible for specific mRNA codon recognition, and the 3' end, to which the tRNAs corresponding amino acid is attached (by aminoacyl-tRNA synthetases). tRNAs cope with the degeneracy of the genetic code in two manners: having more than one tRNA (with a specific anti-codon) for a particular amino acid; and 'wobble' base-pairing, i.e. permitting non-standard base-pairing at the 3rd anti-codon position. The record is from RNAcentral.